This 536-nucleotide ribosomal RNA is filed under the name uncultured bacterium. RNAcentral's name for it is "bacterial SSU rRNA". It matches the Rfam family "Bacterial small subunit ribosomal RNA", at positions 777 to 1312 of the family's 1533-position model. The record is from RNAcentral.
AAUAGAUACCCCGGUAGUCCACGCCGUAAACGAUGUCGACUUGGAGGUUGUUCCCUUGAGGAGUGGCUUCCGGAGCUAACGCGUUAAGUCGACCGCCUGGGGAGUACGGCCGCAAGGUUAAAACUCAAAUGAAUUGACGGGGGCCCGCACAAGCGGGUGGAGCAUGUGGCUUAAUUCGAUGCAACGCGAAGAACCUUACCUACUCUUGACAUCCAGAGAACUUAGCAGAGAUGCUUUGGUGCCUUCGGGAACUCUGAGACAGGUGCUGCAUGGCUGUCGUCAGCUCGUGUUGUGAAUGUUGGGUUAAGUCCGCAACGAGCGCAACCCUUAUCCUUUGUUGCCAGCGGCUCGGCCGGGAACUCAAAGGAGACUGCCAGUGAUAAACUGGAGGAAGGGUGGGGAUGGACGUCAAGUCAUCAUGGCCCUUACGAGUAGGGCUACACACGUGCUACAAUGGCGUAUACAAAGAGAAGCGACCUCGCGAGAGCAAGCGGACCUCAUAAAGUACGUCGUAGUCCGGAUUGGAGUCUGCAACG